UACAGAGGAGCCAAGCGUUGUCCGGAUUGACUGGGCGUAAAGCGCACGCAGGCGGUUUGGCGCGUGGGGUGUGAAAUCUGGCCGCUUAACGGCCAGGCGCCAUCCCAUACGGCUAGACUGGAGUGAUGCAGAGGUCGGUGGAAUUGCCGGUGUAGUGGUGAAAUGCGUAGAUAUCGGGAGGAACACCAGUGGCGAAGGCGACUACCUGGCCUGUUUCUUGACGCUGAGGCGCGAAAGCUAGGGGAGCAAACGGG
RNAcentral lists this ribosomal RNA (254 nucleotides) under uncultured bacterium. RNAcentral's name for it is "partial 16S ribosomal RNA". It matches the Rfam family "Bacterial small subunit ribosomal RNA", at positions 524 to 776 of the family's 1533-position model. The record is from RNAcentral.